UCCCUUAGAUGUUCUGGGCGGCCCGCGCACUACAAUGGCGCUUUCAGCGAGUUCCUAUGUUGAAUUUUCCUUGGUAUUCUUGGAAGCGGCGUCUUGACUUGGGAUAGAUCCUUGUAAUUGUUGGUUUUGAACGAGGAAUUCCUUGUAAUCGCGGUUGAUCAGCUCGCGUUGAAUACGUCCCUGCCCUUUGUACACACCGCCCGUCGCUCCUACCGAUGAAUCGUCCGGUGAAGUUCACAGAGUGGCGGUUCGUGGAGUUGCUCGCGAAGUGAAAUGGACCUCACGAUUUAGAGGAAGGAGAAGUCGUAACA
This 311-nucleotide ribosomal RNA is filed under the name uncultured eukaryote. RNAcentral's name for it is "partial 18S ribosomal RNA". It matches the Rfam family "Eukaryotic small subunit ribosomal RNA", at positions 1469 to 1796 of the family's 1831-position model. The record is from RNAcentral.